Long non-coding RNA from Leopardus geoffroyi (Geoffroy's cat), 2903 nucleotides. RefSeq lists it as uncharacterized. The transcript has 2 exons. Lineage: Eukaryota; Metazoa; Chordata; Mammalia; Carnivora; Felidae. The record is from RefSeq and is a predicted model, not a curated record.
CACUGAUCCCACCCUUCCCUCCCUGACCCCCAAUGUAGGCCAUUCCAAGUUCUAGGGCUUUUAACUUCAUAAAAGGACAGGUAACCAUGGAAGUGAUCAGACAAAACUCCAUUUAAAAUAGAAUUUAUACAAGGAAAGUAAGUAUCUUUUUCUCGAUAGCGGAUAAAUAAAAAAUGUAGUUACCUGGAAAUCAUGAGAGGGAUAUUACUUUAGGAGUGAAUUACAAUAAUAAAAACGUGGUUUAGGUUUUAGUAAAUAGAUUAUCUUAAGAUUUUGUGGGUUUUUUGUUUUUUUUUUUAAUAAGGCUAGCCUGGUAAAGAUUGCUACUUAUAUUUGCUAAAUAUUAUACAAUCUAAAAAGCUAACCUAAAAAUAAAAAAGAAUUUAUUCGGCAGACUUUAAAGAAUGAAAUUAAUUCUUUAUCCUUAAAAUAUAUUCUUAAAUAAAUCCCACUAAGCAGACAGAACUUUCAGUUCUCAAUAAAGAAAACACUUCUAUUAUAACAACUUUAUAUCAGCUUUACGGACUGCUGGAAAUGAACAAUUUUCUCCUUUCCUCACAGAUAAAAUGGUAGGUAAGAUGAAUCGUCUGCCUCAUGCAUAAGAUACAAAUAUUAGCAAAAUUAAUUUGGCUAAGUACUUUGAGCUGCCUCAAAGGAAAACACUUUAUUAAGUAUCAUCCAUCCACAGCAAUUUCUGGUACAUUUGCCACCGUCACCUUUUUCUUUCUUCUCCCUCCCUACCUCAAUUUCUCAGUUCCUGACAGCAGCAAUUCAAAGGUUUGAUCCACAAGUGGCAACCAAAACUGCCCAUUCUUUAUAGAAAAACCACUAUAACAGAAGUCAAUGCAUGACUGGAAUCAAUAUUCAGCGCCCUAGCCGAUUGAAGAAGAACAAUGCUUUGACAAAUGACAGACAAUCUAACCAUAAUUUGUACCUGACCAUAAAAUGUGUCUUGUACUUGUACAGGAACAUGGAAAUGUUGGACAUGCUGCAAAUUCACCGAUCUUUAAAAUAAAAGCACUUCAAAAUAUCACCUAAUCAACAAGAGGUGGAAAAUUACUGGGCUUCCUUAUCCCCAUUAACACAGGCUUAAUGCAAAAAAGGCCAGAGAGAACAAUGCUAUCUUCUUGUAAACUGCUUUGUCACCCCACACACAUCGGUGUACGUGGAACGUACCACACACACUAGUACCAGUCAUGGGCAGUAUUAGUACCAGUGAUGGGCAAUAAGAAUACAAGAAUGAAUAAGAUUAUUGUUAGCUCCCUAUCACAGAGAAUGACCAAGUAUGAUCUAAGUAGAAUACUACAGAAGCAUACAACGAGGCACUAACCUAUUUGGAGCAUACUCAAGUUCACACCUUACCUGAUUCAGUUUAAGAGAUUGGCCCCUGGUCUUAAAGCUGCAUUAGGAAGUAAAUACACUUUGAUUAUUUUAAUUUAAUUUUAAUUUUAUUCAGCCAUUUUAAUUUAAUUCAUCACUAUGCACAUACCAAUCGUUUAUGCUAAUAAAUAGGAAGGUAUUUUAAAGUGUGUGUAUGACCCUGGUUUACCUGGGGAACAACUCCAAGAUAUUUCUCUCCAUAAUGGCAUCCCAACAAGUCAUUCUUCCUAAAUCAUCAUUUCUUUAUAGUUUAUCUUUACUUGAAUUCAAUUUCACAAACAGAGUGUUUUCAGUCAGGCUGGUCUAGGUUAUGUUGCAGUAACGAAGUGCUCCAGAAUCUCAUAGGCUUAUUAGCAAAAUUAAGUUCAUUUCUCACUCACACGAGUUGAGAAAGUGACAGCAGGGGAAUUUCCUUACUCACAGGUCAGGCUGAAGACAGCUCUAUGUUAAAAUGUGAUACCCACAUAACCAAGGUGGAGAAAAACAAAACAUAGUAAACUAUACCUUGGUUCUUAACACUUCUGCUCAGAAAUUAUAUAUUUUGCUCCCACUCACAUUUGGUUGGGUGGGAAAAGAAGGAAGUAAACAUAUUCAGUGGACAGAGGACCAUUUACUUCCAGAACUGGAGAUUUGUUGGACUACACCAGACUAAAAAGAUCAGCAUUUGCAACUUUGCUCAUAUUUCCUGUCUCGAUAUUGCAGAAAUAUGGAAAACUAUGAGAAUUAUACCAAGGCCAACAACAUGAAGAAACAGCUCAAAGAAUAUCUAUGUGUCCUCUGAUCUCAGACAAGCAGAGGGAAAGCACAAGCGAAAAAAUGUUUAACUGGAAGCAAUUAAUGAGCCUUCCUUCAUGGGAAGGUUUCAGGCAACAAGCUAUUAAAAUAACCUACUUCCUUAAAUUCUAGAAAUAUACUUCCAAAUGGUAGGGGCAAACAAUGGUAUCUCAAAAAUAAGCAAGCAUAUUUUAGAUAAUUAUUUUCUAAUUAAAGAAGGUCCACCUUACUUUUACUCUUAAAUCUUAAAAUUGACCUAUAUAAUAUAUUCACUUUUCAUUAUGGAGUAGCUUACUCUUUCAUUUUGAAUUUUAAAAAUAAGUCCUAAACAAAUUGUUAUAAUGCACUUCAAGCAGAAACCCUUAAACCCAAAACUGAUUUCCUGCAUUUCUGCAAUGUAAUUAAAAAUAUAAUCCUAUUUCCCUAUAAACUGCUUUUAACCUAAGAAUAAUUGUCUAAUAGAAAUCUUACCUUAUCAUUCCAAUGCUGGUGAGACACCAAAUACUUUUCUAUUUUAAUUGACAAAUUGGACUUCACCAAAACUAAAAACCUUCAGAGACACCAUUAAGAAAAUGAAAGGUAAGGCACAGAUUAGGAGAAAGCACUCACAAUAAUGCUUAUGAUAAUCACACAUCUUAGGACCCAUAACCACAACCCACAAAGAAUUCUUACAACUCAAUAAUAACCAUACAAAAAAAAAAAAAGAUCUGAACUGAGAUCUCACAAAAUAAUAUACACAAAUGACCAAU